Ovis aries (sheep) is the source of this 69-nucleotide transfer RNA. It matches the Rfam family "tRNA". Rfam says of the family: Transfer RNA (tRNA) molecules are approximately 80 nucleotides in length. Their secondary structure includes four short double-helical elements and three loops (D, anti-codon, and T loops). Further hydrogen bonds mediate the characteristic L-shaped molecular structure. tRNAs have two regions of fundamental functional importance: the anti-codon, which is responsible for specific mRNA codon recognition, and the 3' end, to which the tRNAs corresponding amino acid is attached (by aminoacyl-tRNA synthetases). tRNAs cope with the degeneracy of the genetic code in two manners: having more than one tRNA (with a specific anti-codon) for a particular amino acid; and 'wobble' base-pairing, i.e. permitting non-standard base-pairing at the 3rd anti-codon position. Lineage: Eukaryota; Metazoa; Chordata; Mammalia; Artiodactyla; Bovidae. The record is from Rfam.
CUCCAUGGCUCUGAUGGUAAAGAAUCCACCUGCAAUGUGGGAGACCUGGGUUCGAUCCCUGCAUUGGGA